UACGUAGGGGGCAAGCGUUGUCCGGAAUUAUUGGGCGUAAAGAGCGCGUAGGCGGUCCGGUAAGUCGGUUGUGAAAGUCGGGGGCUCAACCCUCGGAUGCCGAUCGAUACUGCCGGGCUAGAGUCCGGAAGAGGCGAGUGGAAUUCCUGGUGUAGCGGUGAAAUGCGCAGAUAUCAGGAGGAACACCAAUGGCGAAGGCAGCUCGCUGGGACGGUACUGACGCUGAGGCGCGAAAGCGUGGGGAGCGAACAGG
RNAcentral lists this ribosomal RNA (253 nucleotides) under uncultured bacterium. RNAcentral describes it as "partial 16S ribosomal RNA". It matches the Rfam family "Bacterial small subunit ribosomal RNA", at positions 524 to 776 of the family's 1533-position model. The record is from RNAcentral.